UAAGGAAUAUUGGUCAAUGGACGGAAGUCUGAACCAGCCAUGCCGCGUGCAGGAAGACGGCCCUAUGGGUUGUAAACUGCUUUUGCAGGGGAAUAAACCUCGAUACGUGUAUCGAGCUGAAUGUACUCUGAGAAUAAGGAUCGGCUAACUCCGUGCCAGCAGCCGCGGUAAUACGGAGGAUCCAAGCGUUAUCCGGAUUUAUUGGGUUUAAAGGGUGCGUAGGUGGCUUUUUAAGUCAGGGGUGAAAGACGGUAGCUUAACUAUCGCAGUGCCUUUGAUACUGAAGAGCUUGAAUGAACUAGAGGUAGGCGGAAUGUGACAAGUAGCGGUGAAAUGCAUAGAUAUGUCACAGAACACCAAUUGCGAAGGCAGCUUACUAUGGUUUUAUUGACACUGAGGCACGAAAGCGUGGGGAUCAAACA
This 422-nucleotide ribosomal RNA is filed under the name uncultured Mucilaginibacter sp. RNAcentral's name for it is "bacterial SSU rRNA". It matches the Rfam family "Bacterial small subunit ribosomal RNA", at positions 355 to 774 of the family's 1533-position model. Lineage: Bacteria; Pseudomonadati; Bacteroidota; Sphingobacteriia; Sphingobacteriales; Sphingobacteriaceae. The record is from RNAcentral.